Molecule: transfer RNA, 88 nt
Filed under: Chthoniobacterales bacterium
Lineage: Bacteria; Pseudomonadati; Verrucomicrobiota; Spartobacteria; Chthoniobacterales
Also listed under: 1 other name
Description: tRNA-Ser
Rfam family: tRNA
About the family: Transfer RNA (tRNA) molecules are approximately 80 nucleotides in length. Their secondary structure includes four short double-helical elements and three loops (D, anti-codon, and T loops).
Source: RNAcentral
GGAGGGGUGGUCGAGCGGUUGAUGGCUCCGGUCUUGAAAACCGGCAGGGCGCAAGCCCUCGUGGGUUCGAAUCCCACCCCCUCCGCCA